RNAcentral lists this transfer RNA (75 nucleotides) under Marinilabiliales bacterium. RNAcentral's name for it is "tRNA-Gln". It matches the Rfam family "tRNA". Rfam says of the family: Transfer RNA (tRNA) molecules are approximately 80 nucleotides in length. Lineage: Bacteria; Pseudomonadati; Bacteroidota; Bacteroidia; Marinilabiliales. The record is from RNAcentral.
UGACUUGUGGUGUAAUAGGCAGCACAUAAGGCUCUGAGUCUUAAGAUCCUGGUUCGAAUCCUUGCAAGUAAACAA